AGAGUUUGAUCAUGGCUCAGGACGAACGCUGGCGGCGUGCCUAAUACAUGCAAGUCGAGCGGACGAUUCAAAAGCUUGCUUUUGAAUCGUUAGCGGCGGACGGGUGAGUAACACGUGGGCAACCUGCCCUGUAGACGGGGAUAACACCGAGAAAUCGGUGCUAAUACCGGAUAACACGAAAUGUCGCAUGACGUUUCGUUGAAAGACGGCGCAAGCUGUCGCUACAGGAUGGGCCCGCGGCGCAUUAGCUAGUUGGUGAGGUAACGGCUCACCAAGGCGACGAUGCGUAGCCGACCUGAGAGGGUGAUCGGCCACACUGGGACUGAGACACGGCCCAGACUCCUACGGGAGGCAGCAGUAGGGAAUCUUCCGCAAUGGACGAAAGUCUGACGGAGCAACGCCGCGUGAGCGAAGAAGGCCUUCGGGUCGUAAAGCUCUGUUGUUAGGGAAGAACAAGUAACGCAGUAACUGGCGUUACCGUGACGGUACCUAACGAGAAAGCCACGGCUAACUACGUGCCAGCAGCCGCGGUAAUACGUAGGUGGCAAGCGUUGUCCGGAAUUAUUGGGCGUAAAGCGCGCGCAGGCGGUUCCUUAAGUCUGAUGUGAAAGCCCACGGCUCAACCGUGGAGGGUCAUUGGAAACUGGGGGACUUGAGUGCAGAAGAGGAGAGUGGAAUUCCACGUGUAGCGGUGAAAUGCGUAGAGAUGUGGAGGAACACCAGUGGCGAAGGCGGCUCUCUGGUCUGUAACUGACGCUGAGGCGCGAAAGCGUGGGGAGCAAACAGGAUUAGAUACCCUG
Molecule: ribosomal RNA, 800 nt
Filed under: uncultured bacterium
Lineage: Bacteria
Description: bacterial SSU rRNA
Rfam family: Bacterial small subunit ribosomal RNA
Source: RNAcentral